AAGUCGUAACAAGGUUUCCGUAGGUGAACCUGCGGUAUCCAAACUUUAAACCCCCCUGUGAACCUUCAGUCGUACUCGUACGUCCGUUAGAACCGGGAAAACAACGCCGAACAGUUUUCGAUUCAGGGACGUCUGCAAGGAGCGUGCAUGUGCGUGUAAGUGGCCUCCCCAAGCAGUUAGUGUCUGAAAGUGCCACUAACGUUAGUGUCUGAAAGUGUCACUCGCAUGUGUAAGGAUGACGCAGUCACGAUCGUUGGAGGCCCACACGGCCGACGACCGGGUCACCGGGCGCAAGCCCCCUUAUCACACCCCUGCUCUAUCUAUGGUGAUCCUGCGGGAAGUCCUGCGGUCGAACGCCGAAACGGAACAACUGUUAACAAUGGAUAUCUUGGUUCUC
This 397-nucleotide unclassified non-coding RNA is filed under the name fungal sp. Its description in RNAcentral is "partial internal transcribed spacer region". The record is from RNAcentral. Lineage: Eukaryota; Fungi.